AGCAGCCGCGGUAAUUCCAGCUCCAAUAGCGUAUAUUAAAGUUGUUGCAGUUAAAAAGCUCGUAGUUGAAUUUCGGGGUUAGCAGGUCGGUCGUGCCAUCGGUAUGAACUGGUCUCGCUGAUCCCUCCCUCUUGACGAACUGUGAUGCCAUUAAUUUGGUGUCGCAGGGAAUCAGGACUGUUACUUUGAAAAAUUAGAGUGUUUAAAGCAGGCUCACGCUUGAAUACAUUAGCAUGGAAUAAUGAAAUAGGACGUUUGAUCCUAUUUUGUUGGCUUCUAGGAUUGACGUAAUGAUUAAUAGGGAUAGUUGGGGGCAUUAGUAUUCAAUUGUCAGAGGUGAAAUUCUUGGAUUUAUUGAAGACUAACUACUGCGAAAGCAUUUGCCAAGGAUGUUUUCAUUAAUCAAGAACGAAAGUUAGGGGAUCGAAGACGAUCAGAUACCGUCGUAGUCUUAACCAUAAACUAUGCCGACUAGGGAUCGGAUGAUGUUAAUCUUUUAAUGACUCU
RNAcentral lists this ribosomal RNA (507 nucleotides) under uncultured Glomus. RNAcentral describes it as "SSU rRNA". It matches the Rfam family "Eukaryotic small subunit ribosomal RNA", at positions 569 to 1078 of the family's 1831-position model. Lineage: Eukaryota; Fungi; Glomeromycota; Glomeromycetes; Glomerales; Glomeraceae. The record is from RNAcentral.